UCCUACGGGAGGCAGCAGUUGGGCGCAAGCCUGAUCCAGCCAUGCCGCGUGUGUGAAGAAGGCCUUAUGGUUGUAAAGCACUUUAAGCGAGGAGGAGGCUACUCUAGUUAAUACCUAGGGAUAGUGGACGUUACUCGCAGAAUAAGCACCGGCUAACUCUGUGCCAGCAGCCGCGGUAAU
Molecule: ribosomal RNA, 180 nt
Filed under: uncultured bacterium
Lineage: Bacteria
Description: partial 16S ribosomal RNA
Rfam family: Bacterial small subunit ribosomal RNA
Source: RNAcentral